Molecule: ribosomal RNA, 253 nt
Filed under: uncultured bacterium
Lineage: Bacteria
Description: partial 16S ribosomal RNA
Rfam family: Bacterial small subunit ribosomal RNA
Source: RNAcentral
UACAGAGGGUGCAAGCGUUAAUCGGAAUUACUGGGCGUAAAGGGCGCGUAGGCGGUACUUCAAGUCAGGCGUGAAAGCCCCGGGCUCAACCUGGGAACCGCGCUUGAGACUGGAGAACUAGAGUUCGGGAGAGGAUGGUGGAAUGCUUGGUGUAGAGGUGAAAUUCGUAGAUAUCAAGCGGAACACCGGUGGCGAAGGCGGCCUUCUGGACAGUGACUGACGCUGAGACGCGAAAGCGUGGGGAGCAAACAGG